GCAGCUUGUGGUUCGGACGGAGACGCAGGGCCUACUGGGUCCCUGCUCCUGCUGGGAGGUCCUGCGGGCAAUGAGCUGUGUUAGAAGCCAGGGGUUGCCGACGAUGGACAUGAAACAACAGAGCCCCCGGCAGCCAAGCUACCGGGUGUCCUGGCCCCCUUCAGUUCCCUCCCUUGUCCUCCUCGAGGACCCCCCAACUCAGGCACCCACACCACGGGGGGCUGCGGGACCCCGAGCCUCACUCGUGCCACCGGCCACCCAGCGUCCCCUGCAUCUUCCCCGGGGACUCACACACCGCCUCGAGGCCACUCCGCCCCUCCGGAUGGAUGUCCAAGCCUCCAGCCAGGGCCCCUUCCCUGCUUCAUCUCCAGGGUUGACGGAGGUCGAAGGAGCACAUGUCUGCUUGCAGGGCACGCCAGGUCCUGAUGGACACUGACGUCUAGACCUAGACGGUGGCUCAGCCUGAACCCUGGACGGCCUGGAGCACAGCCAUGCAACUGCUUCUAAGACAAAACCGAGCAGGAGCAUCUGCCAACGUCUCCACAUUGUGGACCUGAGAUUGUUCUCCGGAAGCUGCAGUCGGAGCAUCGCCAGGCCCAGCCCUGGGUCCUCCACCCGGGCCACUGCCUCUCAGGCGGCCUCUCCCUGCCCCCGCCCCUCCGGGGCCCCACAGGGCGGCCAGUGCAGACCUGGGUGUGCAACGGCCCCAUCAGCGUUUGUUUCAUGAACAAAUAAAUGUCUAAAUUCAG
This 749-nucleotide long non-coding RNA is filed under the name Homo sapiens (human). RNAcentral's name for it is "long non-coding RNA NONHSAT180027.1". Lineage: Eukaryota; Metazoa; Chordata; Mammalia; Primates; Hominidae. The record is from RNAcentral.